UGGGGAAUAUUGGACAAUGGGCGAAAGCCUGAUCCAGCCAUGCCGCGUGUGUGAAGAAGGCCUUUUGGUUGUAAAGCACUUUAAGUGGGGAGGAAAAGCUUAUGGUUAAUACCCAUAAGCCCUGACGUUACCCACAGAAUAAGCACCGGCUAACUCUGUGCCAGCAGCCGCGGUAAUACAGAGGGUGCAAGCGUUAAUCGGAAUUACUGGGCGUAAAGCGCGCGUAGGUGGUUAUUUAAGUCAGAUGUGAAAGCCCCGGGCUUAACCUGGGAACUGCAUCUGAUACUGGAUAACUAGAGUAGGUGAGAGGGGAGUAGAAUUCCAGGUGUAGCGGUGAGAUGCGUAGAGAUCUGGAGGAAUACCGAUGGCGAAGGCAGCUCCCUGGCAUCAUACUGACACUGAGGUGCGAAAGCGUGGGUAGCAAACAGGAUUAGAUACCCUGGUAGUCCACGCCGUAAACGAUGUCUACCAGUCGUUGGGUCUUUUAAAGACUUAGUGACGCAGUUAACGCAAUAAGUAGACCGCCUGGGGAGUACGGCCGCAAGGUUA
RNAcentral lists this ribosomal RNA (549 nucleotides) under uncultured bacterium. RNAcentral describes it as "bacterial SSU rRNA". It matches the Rfam family "Bacterial small subunit ribosomal RNA", at positions 355 to 896 of the family's 1533-position model. The record is from RNAcentral.